ACUUAUACGUGGCACAGAGUAACUAAGCUUAUAGCAUCUGAUAAUCCUACUACCGGGAGAUUCAGGUGCAUGGCUAGAGUACGGUAGAGGGGGAUGGAAUUCCGCGUGUAGCAGUGAAAUGCGUAGAUAUGCGGAGGAACACCGAUGGCGAAGGCAAUCCCCUGGACCUGUACUGACGCUCAUGCACGAAAGCGUGGGGAGCAAACAGGAUUAGAUACCCUGGUAGUCCACGCCCUAAACGAUGUCAACUGGUUGUUGGGAGGGUUUCUUCUCAGUAACGUAGCUAACGCGUGAAGUU
Molecule: ribosomal RNA, 298 nt
Filed under: Klebsiella pneumoniae
Lineage: Bacteria; Pseudomonadati; Pseudomonadota; Gammaproteobacteria; Enterobacterales; Enterobacteriaceae
Description: partial 16S ribosomal RNA
Rfam family: Bacterial small subunit ribosomal RNA
Source: RNAcentral